This is a long non-coding RNA of Oncorhynchus keta (chum salmon), 704 nucleotides long. RefSeq lists it as uncharacterized. The transcript has 3 exons. The record is from RefSeq and is a predicted model, not a curated record. Lineage: Eukaryota; Metazoa; Chordata; Actinopteri; Salmoniformes; Salmonidae.
GAGUGGUGUGUAUAGGUGGCAGGUGUCAGAGUGGUGUGUAUGGGUGGCAGGUGUCAGAGUGGUGUGUAUAGAUGGCAGGUGUCAGAGUGGUGUGUAUAGGUGGCAGGUGUCAGAGUGGUGUGUAUAGAUGGCAGGUGUCAGAGUGGUGUGUAUAGGUGGCAGGUGUCAGAGUGGUGUGUAUAGAUGGCAGGUGUCAGAGUGGUGUGUAUAGGUGGCAGGUGUCAGAGUGGUGUGUAUAGGUGGCAGGUGUCAGAGUGGUGUGUAUAGGUGGCAGGUGUCAGAGUGGUGUGUAUAGGUGGCAGGUGUCAGAGUGGUGUGUAUAGGUGGCAGGUGUCAGAGUGGUGUGUAUAGGUGGCAGGUGUCAGAGUGGUGUGUAUAGAUGGCAGGUGUCAGAGUGGUGUGUAUAGAUGGCAGGUGUCAGAGUGGUGUGUAUAGAUGGCAGGUGUCAGAGUGGUGUGUAUAGGUGGCAGGUGUCAGAGUGGUGUGUAUAGGUGGCAGGUGUCAGAGUGGUGUGUAUAGAUGGCAGGUGUCAGAGUGGUGUGUAUAGGUGGCAGGUGUCAGAGUGGUGUGUAUAGGUGGCAGGUGUCAGAGUGGUGUGUAUAGAUGGCAGGUGUCAGAGUGGUGUGUAUAGGUGGCAGGUGUCAGAGUGGUGUGUAUAGGUGGCAGGUGUCAGAGUGGUGUGUAUAGAUGGCAGGUGUCAGAGU